Molecule: transfer RNA, 109 nt
Filed under: Deltaproteobacteria bacterium
Lineage: Bacteria; Pseudomonadati; Myxococcota; Myxococcia
Description: tRNA-OTHER
Source: RNAcentral
GUCCCUGUCGUCUAGCGGCCCAGGACGCUGUUAUCCCUCUUGUCGAAGGCUUGCAACGGAAAUAGGGGGGCUCGAUACGGAAACCAGGGUUCGAAUCCCUGUAGGGACG